Telopea speciosissima is the source of this 536-nucleotide long non-coding RNA. RefSeq lists it as uncharacterized. The transcript has 2 exons. NCBI's taxonomy places the organism in Eukaryota, Viridiplantae, Streptophyta, Magnoliopsida, Proteales, Proteaceae. The record is from RefSeq and is a predicted model, not a curated record.
GGUGACAGAGGCUUAUCUGAUGAUCUUUGAAAGGGAGACACAUAUUGGACCAUGGGUUACUUCUAUUUAAUUAGUUGAACUGAGUGUUUCAGUGACUAACUAGGAUUUACUUUUAUGAUUACAGUAGCAAUUUACUGGUUUGGGCUCUUAUUUCAUGGAUUGCAGAUUUUGUACUUAGAAAAUUCUUCCCAAAAACGCUCAUUCGGUUUCUGCAACUGCAUUAUUUCCAAGCUUCCUUGGCUGUCACUUUGUGUUUUCUUUCUGUUGAGGACUGGCGGUGCCCCGUUUGUCAUUUGGAUUCUAUAUCUUCUCCUUCUCAGAAUUCCAGGGAUGAACUUGAUCUUAUUGUUGGCCCCUGCAAAAAACUUUGGUGGUGACUCUUGGUUACCUCAUCUAUGAUCUCAUAUCCUGCCUAUUCGACGACCAUGUGAACAUUGACAAUGCAGUUCAUCAUCUGGUCUGCAUUCUUGAUAUUGGGCCUGGCCUUUUCUAUGAAGGGUGAGUACUUUGUUCUCCUAGUAAAUUCAUUCACAUUC